This 419-nucleotide long non-coding RNA is filed under the name Manihot esculenta (cassava). Its description in RNAcentral is "long non-coding RNA (MESC_LNC000485)". The record is from RNAcentral. Lineage: Eukaryota; Viridiplantae; Streptophyta; Magnoliopsida; Malpighiales; Euphorbiaceae.
GUCACUAUGAGCCCUCCAGCUAUUGAGGCUCCUAGUUUUGAGAUUCUUUGUUCAUCACUUGCACUAAUUGCAGCAGCUCCACAUGUCACAAACACCAACAAAUACGUUGCCAUGACCUCUGCCACCACCUGCGUUUGCUGAGAUCAGUACGUUUUUUGAACUUCAAUAGACCAUGCAUUCACUUUAUAUGUAUUUUCUUUUCUACGUGUUUGUUUCCUAGGAAAGCAGAAAAAAAAUGAUCGUUAUUACCUUUCUGAGAAAAGCAGGAGGAUAAUUUUUUCGAAAUGAUUGAACGAGUUGAGACUUUGGGUUCUCCACAGAGACCAGAUUAUCUUCCAUGGAAGCUGAGGUGUUGAGAUUUGGAUCUAUUGUCGCCAUUAUUUCUUGAUCCAAAAAGAAGCCUGCAAAAUUGAUGGAAC